GACAUGCAAGUGGUAGGAAGCCGAAAGGUGACCGACCUUCGGGAGCUUGCACAGGUGCUGCAUGGCUGUCGUCAGCUCGUGUCGUGAGAUGUUCGGUUAAGUCCGCUAACGAGCGCAACCCUCGCUGUGUGUUAUAUGUGUCACACGGGACUGCCGGUCUUAAGCCGGAGGAAGGUGGGGAUGAUGUCAAGUCAGCAUGGCCUUUAUAUCCUGGGCUACACACACGCUACAAUGGCCAACACAAUAGGUUGCUAAGCCGCGAGGUGGCGCCAAUCCAUAAAGUUGGUCUCAGUUCAGAUUGUAGGCUGCAACCCGCCUGCAUGAAGAUGGAGUUGCUAGUAACCGCAGGUCAGCUAUACUGCGGUGAAUACGUUCCCGGGGCUU
RNAcentral lists this ribosomal RNA (384 nucleotides) under uncultured Leptolinea sp. RNAcentral's name for it is "bacterial SSU rRNA". It matches the Rfam family "Bacterial small subunit ribosomal RNA", at positions 983 to 1382 of the family's 1533-position model. The record is from RNAcentral. Lineage: Bacteria; Bacillati; Chloroflexota; Anaerolineae; Anaerolineales; Anaerolineaceae.